Molecule: ribosomal RNA, 642 nt
Filed under: uncultured bacterium
Lineage: Bacteria
Description: bacterial SSU rRNA
Rfam family: Bacterial small subunit ribosomal RNA
Source: RNAcentral
GAAAGGCUUCGGCCGGACAGGGAUGGGCAUGCGGCGCAUUAGGCAGUAGGCGGGGUAACGGCCCACCUAACCGACGAUGCGUAGGGGUUCUGAGAGGAAGGUCCCCCACACUGGUACUGAGACACGGACCAGACUCCUACGGGAGGCAGCAGUGAGGAAUAUUGGUCAAUGGUCGGGAGACUGAACCAGCCAAGCCGCGUGAGGGAUGAAGGUACAGAGUAUCGUAAACCUCUUUUGUCAGGGAACAAAGGCGGGGACGUGUCCCCGGAUGAGUGUACCUGAAGAAAAAGCAUCGGCUAACUCCGUGCCAGCAACCGCGGUAAUACGGAGGAUGCGAGCGUUAUCCGGAUUUAUUGGGUUUAAAGGGUGCGCAGGCGGUCUGUUAAGUCAGCGGUCAAAGCCCGGGGCUCAACCCCGGCCCGCCGUUGAAACUGGCAGUCUCGAGUUGGAGAGAAGUAUGCGGAAUGCGCGGUGUAGCGGUGAAAUGCAUAGAUAUCGCGCAGAACUCCGAUUGCGAAGGCAGCAUGCCGGCUCCACACUGACGCUGAGGCACGAAAGCGUGGGUAUCGAACAGGAUUAGAUACCCUGGUAGUCCACGCAGUAAACGAUGAAUGCUGGCUGUCCGGGGGGAUUGACCCCUGG